This 875-nucleotide long non-coding RNA is filed under the name Chloebia gouldiae (Gouldian finch). Its description in RNAcentral is "Erythrura gouldiae (Gouldian finch) lncRNA (ENSEGOG00005006535.1)". Lineage: Eukaryota; Metazoa; Chordata; Aves; Passeriformes; Passeridae. The record is from RNAcentral.
CAGGGCUGUGCUUUAUGGAGUGCCUGCAGUCCAUCACCUCCUCAUAAACCCAUUCUGGCACCCCCUGUAUUUGUGAGUUUAAACAUUCCUGCCUGCAAUAAACCUGUCGUGCUCGCCCCACAAGUGUCUGAGCUCCCUAUUUCCCUUUCCUGCAACGUUCAAAUACGCUGCUGGGAACCUACAGGCUCCACAUUUUUCCAGCACCUUCUAUGUUUGCAGCACUGUGCAGACGUUCAUUGCCAUCGCCCAACAGCCCAGCGAGGGAGACACUGGCACCUGCAGUUUUGAUGGCAUUACAGCUCAGCUGGCCAAACUCAUGACUGGCACAUACAAAUAGAAGGGGAAGAGGAGUGACUUGCAGAAUGAAUGCCCUUCAGAUAAGCACCUUGGGAGGAUGAUCAGCGUGCCCGUUCCUUCCUGCCGUGCCCCACCUCGGCAGAGUUACAUUUUCUGCCUGCUCAACAAGUGAGAGCUUGUGGCAUCCUCUUCCUCCUUCCAAUGAGACACUCUCCAAACAACCUGAGCAGGCAAACAAAGCCUGGUGUUGUGGCAUCAAGGGAGAAAGGUCUGCACGCACACCAGCCAAGAGCCGCGUUGUGAAACGCCCGAUGUUGACACACACCAGCUGAAGAAACACACAUCCACCAAGUGGAAGGAAAUCAAAAUGGAAUUACCCAACUCUGUUAUCUCCCUGUUCAUUCAGCCGUGCUCCUACCCGAUUUUCUCCCAAUUCAUUUGCAGCGAGACUCAGUGCAGAUAUGUAGUCUAGUUAUAGUUCCUUUCUGGAUUUUAGAGCUUGCUGAAAUAAGAUAUAUUAAAAUAAUAGUCUGGUUUAAGCACAGCUUUCAUACCCUUACUGCACAUUCACAUUAAAA